CAGCCCUUGGGGUGAAGCCGCGGCAACGCGGCCGGGCAACUUCGCCAGCCCGAAUCCGACAG
Molecule: non-coding RNA, 62 nt
Filed under: Streptomyces bungoensis
Lineage: Bacteria; Bacillati; Actinomycetota; Actinomycetes; Kitasatosporales; Streptomycetaceae
Source: RNAcentral